Molecule: ribosomal RNA, 200 nt
Filed under: uncultured bacterium
Lineage: Bacteria
Description: partial 16S ribosomal RNA
Rfam family: Bacterial small subunit ribosomal RNA
Source: RNAcentral
AACGAACGCUGGCGGCAGGCUUAACACAUGCAAGUCGAACGGUUGUAGCAAUACAGCAGUGGCAGACGGGUGAGUAACACGUGGGAACCUUCCUAGGGGUACGGAACAACUCAGGGAAACUUGAGCUAAUACCGUAUACGUCCGUGAGGAGAAAGAUUUAUCGCCCCUAGACGGGCCCGCGUAGGAUUAGGUAGUUGGUG